RNAcentral lists this long non-coding RNA (974 nucleotides) under Homo sapiens (human). RNAcentral describes it as "HSALNT0363825". The record is from RNAcentral. Lineage: Eukaryota; Metazoa; Chordata; Mammalia; Primates; Hominidae.
CCCCAGUUUCCUCCUCCCUGAGCGCACAGAAGGAAAUCUCUCCUCUCUGAGCAGGCUGCAGAGCCCAGAACUUUCCCGUCAUCGCCCAGAGGCUUUCCCACACCACUUGGCAGCCUGCAGACUGGUCUUCAUCCAAGUGCCAAAGGAGAACCCACAGUGCAAGCCAGGAAGACCAUGACAAUCAUCUGUGCUCUUCUCUCUGUGCCUAACAUUGUCAUCUCCCAUAUGCACCACUGGCCCACCUUUGAGAAAGAAUUCAAACUCCACUUCCUGGCCAGGCUGGUCUCGAACUCCUGACCUCAAACCCCACUUUCUUCAUGAGGCUUGCUAUGACCCCACCACACCCACCAGGCCAGACCACCAUCACCUCUCACUGGACCCUGCUACGACCACCUCCCUGAUCUUUCUGCCCUUGGGCUCGCUCCAUGGAGCCCCUUCUCCACACAGCAGCAGCCAGAGGCAGUUUCUGGAGCCCACAGCUGAAUGCGUUGUUCUCCUUGCUCAGGCAGAGAAGAGGACAGAUGGGGUUUUGGUCUCCUGUGUGUAGCCAGAGGGACUGCCUUGUCCUUCGCCAUCUCCAGUAGUUCCUGAGACCACAGCUGCUGAUGGCAAAUGCCCCCAGUCCCAGCCAUGCCCCAGCCCCCUGCAUUGAGAGACCCAGCUCCACCCAGAGGGCAGCUGCAGCCUCCUUCAUCCACAGCCACUGCUGUGACCAAGAGGGACAUUGUCCUGGAAGGCCAGUGGAGCCUUUCUGAGGCCUUCACAGGCCCAAUGUCCACCCUGGUCAUGACACGUAUAAUAACACAGCUCUUGCAUUAAAUACUAUUUACUGCAGCAGAAUUUUUUUUUAAGUUUGUUAUAAUUUUGAAUUUUGUGAAGAGUAAAUUAUUCAUUUUGUUUUUUAACUUGAAUUUAUUCAUUAUACCUAAGUAAGAAUUGAUCUGGGCUAUGCUUGGCUAGUUGGUAUAAUACCA